GACUGCAACACAAAAGAAGAUCAACAAGUGAGAGACAAGGAGAGAGAGAUGUCGAACACCAGUGAUUAUACUUCAAAAGAGAGUCUUACGAAUUUGUUCAAGGAGAUUUCUGUCGAUGAACAAGAACAAGAGAUAGCAAUACUCUCUAUCCUACUUGAAGGAAUUUCAGUUGAGAAACUCUCAGAUGAAGAACCUGAUGUGGAUUACAGGAUUCGAUCCUUUUCUGAGCUAUUCGACAAGCUUCCUUCUGAUUCUAUUUAUCCAACGGCUUUCUUCAACACUCAUCAUAUCCCUACUAAGUGGCUAAGAGCCGGCGGCAGAGUGCGAACUUUUCAACUUGUUGCAGGAGGAAAACCUGGAGCAUUAAUUCGACCAAAGCAAAGCAAGUCUUAAUUAUUUUUAUCUUUGCCAGAUCUGAUGACUUGGGUUUAAACUUAAAACUUUAUACUUCUAGAGAUGAUUUAAAUGUUUUUUAUAUGGUUGAUUAUGUGUAUUAUCGUUAAGUAGUAGAUUAUGGGCUUGCUAUUUUCAGUUAGCCAGUCAUGUAAUAAUAUCUAUUUGCCAAAUCAAAACACAUAAUAAAAGGAUGUAUGAUAGUAUUAACUAGAAGAUUAUAUUUGCUAUGUCUACCCUGGACUAGGACUUAGUUUGGGUAGAACUACAUGUUAAUUAAUGUUUUUUAUUCAAUAAUUUUUAUCCUAA
Molecule: unclassified non-coding RNA, 702 nt
Filed under: Hevea brasiliensis (rubber tree)
Lineage: Eukaryota; Viridiplantae; Streptophyta; Magnoliopsida; Malpighiales; Euphorbiaceae
Source: RNAcentral